Molecule: ribosomal RNA, 305 nt
Filed under: uncultured bacterium
Lineage: Bacteria
Description: bacterial SSU rRNA
Rfam family: Bacterial small subunit ribosomal RNA
Source: RNAcentral
UCGGCCUACGGGACGCAGCAGUAGGGAAUCUUCCACAAUGGACGAAAGCCUGAUGGAGCAACGCCGCGUGGGUGAAGAAGGUCUUCGGAUCGUAAAACCCUGUUGUUAGAGAAGAAAGUGCGUGAGAGUAACUGUUCACGUUUCGACGGUAUCUAACCAGAAAGCCACGGCUAACUACGUGCCAGCAGCCGCGGUAAUACGUAGGGGGCAAGCGUUAUCCGGAUUUACUGGGUGUAAAGGGAGCGCAGACGGCAGCGCAAGUCCGGGGUGAAAGCCCGCGGCCCAACCGCGGGACUGCCCUGGAA